Molecule: long non-coding RNA, 242 nt
Filed under: Lathyrus oleraceus (garden pea)
Lineage: Eukaryota; Viridiplantae; Streptophyta; Magnoliopsida; Fabales; Fabaceae
Description: Pisum sativum (pea) long non-coding RNA (PSAT_LNC012685)
Source: RNAcentral
UUUAAUCCAUUUUAUUUUCUUAAUUCCAUUUUAUUUCAAAAAUCAUAUCUCUUUCAUUUUAAUUCCAAAAAUUAUGGGACCAAUUGCAUUAGUCUCCAAAUAAUUUUAUUUCAAAAAUCAUAUCUCUUUCAUUUUAAUUCCAAAAAUUAUGGGACCAAUUGCAUUAGUCUCCAAAUAAAUUCUAGUUUCUAUUUCUGAUUUUUAAUAUUUUUUAUUUUGUCAUUUGAUAGUUUUUGUGAAUU